AAAAACAUGUCCUUUUGUUAUUAAAAUAUAAGGUCUAACCUGCCCAAUGAUGAUUAUUAAAUGGCCGCGGUAUUUUAACUGUGCUAAGGUAGCAUAAUCACUUGUCUUUUAAUUAAAGGCUAGAAUGAAUGGUUGGACGAAGUACGGCCUUUCUUUAAUUUAAUUUAUUGAAUUUAAUUUUUUAGUUAAAAAGCUAAAAUGUAUUUGAGGGACGAGAAGACCCUGUAGAUCUUUAUAUAUUUUUAUAUUACAUAUUUUAGUUAAUUUAAUUAUUGUUGAUAUAUUUAUAUAUUUGGUUGGGGCGACUAUAGAAUGUAACAAACUUCUAUUAAAUGUUAAUUUCAUUAAUAUUUGUAUUUUUGAUCCACUAUUAUUGAUUAAAAAAUUAAGUUACCUCAGGGAUAACAGCGUAAUUUCUUUGGAGAGCCCUUAUCGAUAAAGAAGUUUGCGACCUCGAUGUUGGAUUAAAGUAAGUAAUGGGUGCAGAAGUCCAUUAACUAGGUCUGUUCGACCUUUAAUUUUUUACAUGAUCUGAGUU
This 538-nucleotide ribosomal RNA is filed under the name Rhynocoris sp. 00003991. RNAcentral's name for it is "partial 16S ribosomal RNA". It matches the Rfam family "Bacterial large subunit ribosomal RNA", at positions 1809 to 2611 of the family's 2925-position model. The record is from RNAcentral. Lineage: Eukaryota; Metazoa; Arthropoda; Insecta; Hemiptera; Reduviidae.